RNAcentral lists this ribosomal RNA (417 nucleotides) under uncultured bacterium. Its description in RNAcentral is "bacterial SSU rRNA". It matches the Rfam family "Bacterial small subunit ribosomal RNA", at positions 355 to 786 of the family's 1533-position model. The record is from RNAcentral.
UAGGGAAUAUUGCACAAUGGGGGAAACCCUGAUGCAGCGACGCCGCGUGAAGGAAGAAGUAUCUCGGUAUGUAAACUUCUUUUAUCAGGGACGAAACAAAUGACGGUACCUGAAGAAUAAGCCACGGCUAACUACGUGCCAGCAGCCGCGGUAAUACGUAGGUGGCGAGCGUUAUCCGGAUUUACUGGGUGUAAAGGGCGUGUAGGCGGGAGUGCAAGUCAGAUGUGAAAUCCUAUGGCUUAACCAUAGAACUGCAUUUGAAACUGUUAUUCUAGAGUAUGGGAGAGGUAGGUGGAAUUCCUAGUGUAGCGGUGAAAUGCGUAGAUAUUAGGAGGAACACCAGUGGCGAAGGCGGCUUACUGGACGGUAACUGACGUUGAGGCUCGAAAGCGUGGGGAGCAAACAGGAUUAGAUACC